GUAGUCCUGGCAGUAAACGGUGCGCGUUUGGUGUGGGGGGAUUCGACAAUCUCCGCGCCGGAGCUAACGCGUUAAACGCGCCGCCUGGGAAAUACGGUCGCAAGAUUAAAACUCAAAGAAAUUGACGGGGGCCCGCACAAGCGGUGGAGUAUGUGGCUUAAUUCGAUGCAACGCGAAGAACCUUACCUAGGCUUGACAUGCAUCGCUAAGUUGGUGAAAGCCAGCGAGCCCCGCAAGGGGCACUUUGCACAGGUGCUGCAUGGCUGUCGUCAGCUCGUGUCGUGAGAUGUUGGGUUAAGUCCCGCAACGAGCGCAACCCUUAUGAACUGUUGCCAUUGGCCUAAAGCCUGGCUCUCUGUUCAGACCGCCCUGUGAAACGGGGA
This 383-nucleotide ribosomal RNA is filed under the name uncultured bacterium. RNAcentral's name for it is "bacterial SSU rRNA". It matches the Rfam family "Bacterial small subunit ribosomal RNA", at positions 790 to 1167 of the family's 1533-position model. The record is from RNAcentral.